Molecule: ribosomal RNA, 936 nt
Filed under: human gut metagenome
Description: bacterial SSU rRNA
Rfam family: Bacterial small subunit ribosomal RNA
Source: RNAcentral
AUAUUGGUCAAUGGACGAGAGUCUGAACCAGCCAAGUCGCGUGAGGGAAGACUGCCCUAUGGGUUGUAAACCUCUUUUAUAAGGGAAGAAUAAGUUCUACGUGUAGAAUGAUGCCUGUACCUUAUGAAUAAGCAUCGGCUAACUCCGUGCCAGCAGCCGCGGUAAUACGGAGGAUGCGAGCGUUAUCCGGAUUUAUUGGGUUUAAAGGGUGCGUAGGCGGUUUAUUAAGUUAGUGGUUAAAUAUUUGAGCUAAACUCAAUUGUGCCAUUGAUACUGGUAAACUUGAGUACAGACGAGGUAGGCGGAAUAAGUUGAGUAGCGGUGAAAUGCUUAGAUAUCACGAAGAACUCCGAUUGCGAAGGCAGCUUACUAGACUGUAACUGACGCUGAUGCACGAGAGCGUGGGUAGCGAACAGGAUUAGAUACCCUGGUAGUCCACGCCGUAAACGAUGCUCACUGGUUCUGUGCGAUAUAUUGUACGGGAUUAAGCGAAAGUAUUAAGUGAGCCACCUGGGGAGUACGCCGGCAACGGUGAAACUCAAAGGAAUUGACGGGGGCCCGCACAAGCGGAGGAACAUGUGGUUUAAUUCGAUGAUACGCGAGGAACCUUACCCGGGUUUAAAUGGGAAAUGUCGUAUUUGGAAACAGAUAUUCUCUUCGGAGCGUUUUUCAAGGUGCUGCAUGGUUGUCGUCAGCUCGUGCCGUGAGGUGUCGGGUUAAGUCCCAUAACGAGCGCAACCCUUAUCGUUAGUUACUAACAGGUAAUGCUGAGGACUCUAACGGGACUGCCAUCGUAAGAUGAGAGGAAGGCGGGGAUGACGUCAAAUCAGCACGGCCCUUACACCCGGGGCUACACACGUGUUACAAUGGCCGGUACAGAGGGCCGCUACCAGGUGACUGGAUGCCAAUCUCAAAAGCCGGUCGUAGUUCGGAUUG